Molecule: ribosomal RNA, 439 nt
Filed under: uncultured bacterium
Lineage: Bacteria
Description: partial 16S ribosomal RNA
Rfam family: Bacterial small subunit ribosomal RNA
Source: RNAcentral
CUACGGGUGGCAGCAGUGGGGGAUCUUAGACAAUGGGGGCAACCCUGAUCUAGCCAUGCCGCGUGAGUGAUGAAGGCCUUAGGGUCGUAAAGCUCUUUCGCCUGUGAUGAUAAUGACAGUAGCAGGUAAAGAAACCCCGGCUAACUCCGUGCCAGCAGCCGCGGUAAUACGGAGGGGGUUAGCGUUGUUCGGAAUUACUGGGCGUAAAGCGCGCGUAGGCGGAUUAGAAAGUUGGGGGUGAAAUCCCGGGGCUCAACCCCGGAACUGCCUCCAAAACUGCUAGUCUAGAGUUCGAGAGAGGUGAGUGGAAUUCCGAGUGUAGAGGUGAAAUUCGUAGAGAUUCGGAGGAACACCAGUGGCGAAGGCGGCUCACUGGCUCGAUACUGACGCUGAGGUGCGAAAGUGUGGGGAGCAAACAGGAUUAGAUACCCGCGUAGUC